RNAcentral lists this long non-coding RNA (704 nucleotides) under Astyanax mexicanus (Mexican tetra). RNAcentral's name for it is "lncRNA (ENSAMXG00005016794.1)". Lineage: Eukaryota; Metazoa; Chordata; Actinopteri; Characiformes; Acestrorhamphidae. The record is from RNAcentral.
AGGGUUUUGAUAUUAAUUCUAUAUAAAAUACUGAUUUACUCCUCUAUAUAUGUUCUUCCCAGGGUUCUGCUGGUGUGGCGGGGGCUAGGGGCCAGCCUGGGCUACCAGGUCCACAGGGACUUCCAGGAAACGAUGGUCCACAGGGUCUCAAAGGGGACACAGGAAAAGAGGGUCCUAUGGGUAAUAGAGGACUGCAAGGCAUUGAAGGGCCGAUGGGAAUAAUUGGAGAUCUGGGUCCAAAAGGCCUUUCAGGAAACACUGGCAGCAGGGGUCUGGACGGAGAGCGAGGGGACCCAGGACCCAAAGGACAAAGAGGUCCACCUGGAGCACCUGGGAUUGUGGGUCCUCAGGGAGAGGGAGGUCCUUCUGGCCUUGUUGGCUUACCUGGGGUUAGAGGGCAGGCAGGUCCUCCAGGUAUCCAGGGUGAAGAUGGUGAAGUGGGCCUCCAGGGAAUGAUUGGAAAGGAAGGUCAAAAGGUUGGGAGCGUUUUAUGACUUUCAGCUGGAACAAUAGGAGGCAAAUGACAUGUGGAAAAGAGCUUAGACUUACUGAGGGCUUCUCUACAAACAGACUGACGCAAGACGAUGCACACUGUACUACUAUAUAGACAAAAGUAUUGGGACACCUGCUCUUUUAGAGAGAGUUUUUCCCCAAAUCAAGGAUAUUAUCAAGAGUUUAUUCUGCUUAAACCUGUCCUGAUAAUU